Non-coding RNA from Nelumbo nucifera (sacred lotus), 86 nucleotides. The record is from Rfam. Lineage: Eukaryota; Viridiplantae; Streptophyta; Magnoliopsida; Proteales; Nelumbonaceae.
AAUGCAAGUGAUGAUAAAACAGACAGGGACAUCAGCACUCCUCUGGGGCAUGAUGACUUGUUCUUUGGGAAUCCCUCUGAAGCAUG